UACGAAGGGUGCAAGCGUUACUCGGAAUUACUGGGCGUAAAGCGUGCGUAGGUGGUUGUUUAAGUCUGUCGUGAAAGCCCUGGGCUCAACCUGGGAAUUGCGAUGGAUACUGGGCGACUAGAGUGUGGUAGAGGAUAGUGGAAUUUCCGGUGUAGCAGUGAAAUGCGUAGAGAUCGGAAGGAACAUCUGUGGCGAAGGCGACUAUCUGGGCCAACACUGACACUGAGGCACGAAAGCGUGGGGAGCAAACAGGAUUAGAUACCCUGGUAGUCCACGCCCUAAACGAUGCGAACUGGAUGUUGGGUUCAACUUGGAACCCAGUAUCGAAGCUAACGCGUUAAGUUCGCCGCCUGGGGAGUACGGUCGCAAGACUGAA
This 376-nucleotide ribosomal RNA is filed under the name uncultured bacterium. RNAcentral describes it as "bacterial SSU rRNA". It matches the Rfam family "Bacterial small subunit ribosomal RNA", at positions 524 to 898 of the family's 1533-position model. The record is from RNAcentral.